RNAcentral lists this ribosomal RNA (169 nucleotides) under uncultured bacterium. RNAcentral's name for it is "partial 16S ribosomal RNA". It matches the Rfam family "Bacterial small subunit ribosomal RNA", at positions 1334 to 1500 of the family's 1533-position model. The record is from RNAcentral.
GCUAGUAAUCGUAGGUCAGCAUACUACGGUGAAUACGUUCCCGGGCCUUGUACACACCGCCCGUCAAACCAUGAGAGUUGGCAACACCCGAAGUCGGUAGUCUAACCGCAAGGAGGACGCCGCCGAAGGUGGGGGUUGAUGAUUAGGGGUUAAGUCGUAACAAGGUACC